Molecule: transfer RNA, 61 nt
Filed under: human gut metagenome
Also listed under: 1 other name
Rfam family: tRNA
About the family: Transfer RNA (tRNA) molecules are approximately 80 nucleotides in length. Their secondary structure includes four short double-helical elements and three loops (D, anti-codon, and T loops).
Source: RNAcentral
UGGUAUAGCUCAGCCGGUAGAGCAGCUGAUUUGUAAUCAGCAGGUCGGGGGUUCGAAUCCG